AGUGUGAGACCUCGGGCUACAACACAGGACCCGGGUGCUGCUCUGACCCCUCGUGUCUUGUGUUGCAGCCGGAGGGACGCA
Molecule: non-coding RNA, 81 nt
Organism: Macaca mulatta (Rhesus monkey)
Lineage: Eukaryota; Metazoa; Chordata; Mammalia; Primates; Cercopithecidae
Source: Rfam